GGCUUGUGGCUCAGUGGUGGAGCAUUCGCCUAUCAUGUGUGAGACCCUGGGUUCGAUCCUCAGCACCA
Molecule: transfer RNA, 68 nt
Filed under: Marmota monax (woodchuck)
Lineage: Eukaryota; Metazoa; Chordata; Mammalia; Rodentia; Sciuridae
Description: tRNA.Asp
Rfam family: tRNA (bases 5-65)
About the family: Transfer RNA (tRNA) molecules are approximately 80 nucleotides in length. Their secondary structure includes four short double-helical elements and three loops (D, anti-codon, and T loops).
Source: RNAcentral